GUUCUGUAAGCCUGUGAAGGUGGCAUGUAAAGGCUGCUGGAGGUAUCAGAAGUGCGAAUGCUGACAUGAGUAGCGUUAAAGCGGGUGAAAAGCCCGCUCGCCGUAAGCGCAAGGUUUUCUACGCAACGUUCAUCGGCGUAGAGUGAGUCGGCCCCUAAGGUGAGGCAGAGAUGCGUAACUGAUGGGAAACAGGUCAAUAUUCCUGUACCGAUGUGUAGUGCGAUGUGGGGACGGAUCUUAAUAGGUCAUCCGGGUGUUGGAUAUCCCGGUUUAGGCAGAUGUAGGCGACAGGUAGGCAAAUCCGCCUGUCAUAUACCGAGGCUGCCGAUCGAGCGAGCUUGCUCGCGAAGUGAUUGAACGAGGUUCCAGGAAAAGCCACUAAGCUUCAGCUACACACGACCGUACCGCAAACCGACACUGGUGCGCGAGAUGAGUAUUCUAAGGCGCUUGAGAGAACUCGGGAGAAGGAACUCGGCAAAUUGACACCGUAACUUCGGAAGAAGGUGUGCCCUAUUAGUGUGAAGUGAACAACGGAGCAUGAAUGGGUUGCAAAAAAUCGGUGGCUGCGACUGUUUAUUAAAAACACAGCACUCUGCAAACACGAAAGUGGACGUAUAGGGUGUGACGCCUGCCCGGUGCUGGAAGAUUAAAUGAUGGGGUGCAAGCUCUUGAUUGAAGUCCCAGUAAACGGCGGCCGUAACAAUAACGGUCCUAAGGUAGCGAAAUUCCUUGUCGGGUAAGUUCCGACCUGCACGAAUGGCGUAACGAUGGCCACACUGUCUCCUCCCGAGACUCAGCGAAGUUGAAAUGUUUGUGAUGAUGCAAUCUCCCCGCGGAAAGACGGAAAGACCCCAUGAACCUUUACUGUAGCUUUGUAUUGGACUUUGAACAGAUCUGUGUAGGAUAGGUGGGAGGCUUUGAAGCAGGGUCGCUAGAUCUUGUGGAGCCAACGUUGAAAUACCACCCUGGUGUGUUUGAGGUUCUAACCUAGGUCCAUUAUCUGGAUCGGGGACAGUGCAUGGUAGGCAGUUUGACUGGGGCGGUCUCCUCCCAAAGCGUAACGGAGGAGUUCGAAGGUACGCUAGUUACGGUCGGACAUCGUGACGAUAGUGCAAUGGCAUAAGCGUGCUUAACUGCGAGACUGACAAGUCGAGCAGAUGCGAAAGCAGGACAUAGUGAUCCGGUGGUUCUGUAUGGAAGGGCCAUCGCUCAACGGAUAAAAGGUACUCUGGGGAUAACAGGCUGAUACCGCCCAAGAGUUCAUAUCGACGGCGGUGUUUGGCACCUCGAUGUCGGCUCAUCUCAUCCUGGGGCUGUAGCCGGUCCCAAGGCUAUGGCUGUUCGCCAUUUAAAGAGGUACGUGAGCUGGGUUUAAAACGUCGUGAGACAGUUUGGUCCCUAUCUUCCGUGGGCGCUGCAGAUUUGAGGAAGCCUGCUCCUAGUACGAGAGGACCGGAGUGGACGCACCUCUGGUGUAUCGGUUGUCACGCCAGUGGCAUUGCCGAGUAGCUAUGUGCGGAAGAGAUAACCGCUGAAAGCAUCUAAGCGGGAAACUCGUUCCAAGAUGAGAUCUGCCGGGGCCUUGAGCCCCCUAAAGAGUCGUUCAAGACCAGGACGUUGAUAGGUCGGGUGUGGAAGCGCAGUAAUGCGUUAAGCUAACCGGUACUAAUUGCUCGUGCGGCUUGACC
Molecule: ribosomal RNA, 1688 nt
Filed under: metagenome
Description: bacterial LSU rRNA
Rfam family: Bacterial large subunit ribosomal RNA
Source: RNAcentral